AUACGUAGGGAGCGAGCGUUGUCCGGAAUUACUGGGUGUAAAGGGAGCGUAGGCGGGGGUGCAAGUCAGAUGUGAAAUACAUGGGCUCAACCCAUGGGCUGCAUUCGAAACUGUAUUUCUUGAGUGAGGUAGAGGUAAGCGGAAUUCCUGGUGUAGCGGUGAAAUGCGUAGAUAUCAGGAGGAACACCGGUGGCGAAGGCGGCUUACUGGGCUUUUACUGACGCUGAGACUCGAAAGCGUGGGGAGCAAACAGGAUUAGAUACCCUGGUAGUCCACGCUGUAAACGAUGAUUACUAGGUGUGGGGGGACUGACCCCUUCCGUGCCGCAGUUAACACAAUAAGUAAUCCACCUGGGGAGUACGGCCGCAAGGUUGAAACUCAAAUGAAUUGACGGGG
This 396-nucleotide ribosomal RNA is filed under the name uncultured bacterium. Its description in RNAcentral is "partial 16S ribosomal RNA". It matches the Rfam family "Bacterial small subunit ribosomal RNA", at positions 523 to 918 of the family's 1533-position model. The record is from RNAcentral.